This 253-nucleotide ribosomal RNA is filed under the name uncultured bacterium. RNAcentral's name for it is "partial 16S ribosomal RNA". It matches the Rfam family "Bacterial small subunit ribosomal RNA", at positions 524 to 776 of the family's 1533-position model. The record is from RNAcentral.
UACGGAGGGUGCAAGCGUUAUCCGGAUUCACUGGGGUUAAAGGGUGCGUAGGCGGGCAGGCAAGUCAGAGGUGAAAGCCCACGGCUCAACCGUGGAAGUGCCCCUGAUACUGCUUGUCUGGAGGGAGGUAGGGGCGUGCGGAACUUCCGGUGGAGCGGUGAAAUGCGUAGAUAUCGGAAGGAACACCGGUGGCGAAAGCGGCGCGCUGGACCUCUUCUGACGCUGAGGCGCGAAAGCUAGGGGAGCAAACGGG